RNAcentral lists this ribosomal RNA (468 nucleotides) under uncultured bacterium. Its description in RNAcentral is "partial 16S ribosomal RNA". It matches the Rfam family "Bacterial small subunit ribosomal RNA", at positions 28 to 507 of the family's 1533-position model. The record is from RNAcentral.
GACGAACGCUGGCGGCGUGCUUAACACAUGCAAGUCGAACGGAAAGGCCCUGCUUUUGUGGGGUGCUCGAGUGGCGAACGGGUGAGUAACACGUGAGUAACCUGCCCUUGACUUUGGGAUAACUUCAGGAAACUGGGGCUAAUACCGGAUAGGAGCUCCUGCUGCAUGGUGGGGGUUGGAAAGUUUCGGCGGUUGGGGAUGGACUCGCGGCUUAUCAGCUUGUUGGUGGGGUAGUGGCUUACCAAGGCUUUGACGGGUAGCCGGCCUGAGAGGGUGACCGGCCACAUUGGGCCUGAGAUACGGCCCAGUAUCCUACGGGAGGCAGCAGGGGGGAAUAUUGCACAAUGGGCGGAAGCGUGAUGCAGAAGCGCCGCGUGCGGGAUGACGGCCUUCGGGUUGUAAACCGCUUUCGCCUGUGACGAAGCGUGAGUGACGGUAAUGGGUAAAGAAGCACCGGCUAACUACGUG